GUAGUGGUCCGAGGUGAUCGCCGCGGGCGGCGCCCGCGAUGGGCGCCGGUAGCGGAGGAAAGUCCGAACUCCAGAGGGCAGCGUGCUGGCUAACGCCCAGUCAGGGUGACCUGAAGGAAAGUGGCACAGAAAACAUACCGCCCGCCUUCGCGCGCUACGCGCGCUAUGGCGAGGCAAGCCCCUGAGGCUGUUGGGCAGCGCAGCCCGGUGGUCGGGGAGCUUGCUUCGCCAUAGCGCGCGUAGCGCGCGGAGGCGAGUAAGGGUGAAAAGGUGCGGUAAGAGCGCACCGCGCACCCCGUGAGGGGUGUGGCAGGCUAAACCCCACGCGGAGCAAGACCAAAUAGGGGGGCGCUGGCGGGCCGGCGCGGGCUUGUCUCGCCGUAGCGCGCCUCGCGCGCGAAGGCGGGUCACCGCGCACGGAGCUCGCCGGGAGGGCUGCCCGCUCGAAGCCUCCGGGUAGGUCGCUAGAGACCGUCAGCGAUGACGGUCCGAGAGGAAUGAUCACCACCGAGCUCGCCGGGAGGUGGGCGCGGAACAGAAUUCGGCUUACUGGACCACUGCGACC
This 565-nucleotide RNase P RNA is filed under the name Luteitalea sp. Its description in RNAcentral is "RNase P RNA component class A". It matches the Rfam family "Bacterial RNase P class A". From Rfam's summary of the family: Ribonuclease P (RNase P) is a ubiquitous endoribonuclease, found in archaea, bacteria and eukarya as well as chloroplasts and mitochondria. Its best characterised activity is the generation of mature 5'-ends of tRNAs by cleaving the 5'-leader elements of precursor-tRNAs. Cellular RNase Ps are ribonucleoproteins. Lineage: Bacteria; Pseudomonadati; Acidobacteriota; Vicinamibacteria; Vicinamibacterales; Vicinamibacteraceae. The record is from RNAcentral.